RNAcentral lists this non-coding RNA (190 nucleotides) under Desulforudis sp. RNAcentral describes it as "6S RNA". It matches the Rfam family "6S / SsrS RNA". From Rfam's summary of the family: E. coli 6S RNA was the first non coding RNA to be sequenced, but its function was unknown until recently. It consists of 184 nucleotides that fold into an extended hairpin structure with a large single-stranded internal bulge. Lineage: Bacteria; Bacillati; Bacillota; Clostridia; Thermoanaerobacterales; Desulforudaceae. The record is from RNAcentral.
UAAACCCUGCUAUGUUCGUGACCGUACUUGAAGUUCUGAGCCAACAUCGACACAUAGGGAGCCCGGUCUCUGGGCGUGGCUCACAGGCCUUCGCACCAGGAGGAAGUGAUAAGCGGUCAGGAGGGCACCCACUUAGUUCUGAGACAGGUUCAGGAAACUUUGAGCGGUCCACGGCAUCGGUGGGGUUUAC